UACGUAGGGUGCAAGCGUUGUCCGGAAUUAUUGGGCGUAAAGAGCUCGUAGGCGGUUCGUCACGUCGGCUGUGAAAUCCCGAGGCUCAACCUCGGGUCUGCAGUCGAUACGGGCGGACUUGAGUACUGCAGGGGAGACUGGAAUUCCUGGUGUAGCGGUGAAAUGCGCAGAUAUCAGGAGGAACACCGGUGGCGAAGGCGGGUCUCUGGGCCGAUACUGACGCUGAGGAGCGAAAGCGUGGGGAGCGAACAGG
RNAcentral lists this ribosomal RNA (253 nucleotides) under uncultured bacterium. RNAcentral's name for it is "partial 16S ribosomal RNA". It matches the Rfam family "Bacterial small subunit ribosomal RNA", at positions 524 to 776 of the family's 1533-position model. The record is from RNAcentral.